This 253-nucleotide ribosomal RNA is filed under the name uncultured bacterium. Its description in RNAcentral is "partial 16S ribosomal RNA". It matches the Rfam family "Bacterial small subunit ribosomal RNA", at positions 524 to 776 of the family's 1533-position model. The record is from RNAcentral.
UACUGAAGGUGCAAGCGUUAAUCGGAAUUACUGGGCGUAAAGCGCGCGUAGGCGGUUCGUUAAGUCAGAUGUGAAAGCCCCGGGCUCAACCUGGGAACUGCAUUUGAUACUGGCGAACUAGAGUAUGUUAGAGGAAAGUGGAAUUCAGGGUGUAGCGGUGAAAUGCGUAGAUAUCCUGAGGAACACCAAUGGCGAAGGCAACUUUCUGGGACAAUACUGACGCUGAGGUGCGAAAGCGUGGGGAGCAAACGGG